AGCAGAGCUCUAGAGGAAUCUCAUUGCAGCUGGAGAGGCUGGUCAAGUCAUAACAGGAAAAUAUUGCUGGCUGUGAAGAUUCCCAGAUUGCCUGCUGAAGGGGUUUUGAAGUGUUUAGGGCUUCACACGUGGCUUGUUUGCUGCUCAGUUCCUUCCCGUGUCCAGCUUCCCUCCUUGCCAGCAUUUCCAGCCAUGGAGAUGACACCUGAUGCUGAGCUGAUCAAUGGCUGGUUUCCUUCCUCUCAACUCAGCCGGUCCCACACACACCACAGUCGGCUUUGCAGAUGUUCCCACUUGUUUUCACGGGAUAUUUGAAAACAUUUCAAAUCCACCAGUGACUGAAUGAAAAUAAUUCAUGCCUGAGCUGUAGAAUUGCAUCGCCUUCUUUAAAACUUUGCUGCCACCUCAAGUACAUAAAGGCCAGAGGAAGUGAAGUAUCUCAGUAAAAUACACCACUGUCCUGGAACAGGAGUUCACAGCCUUUUUGGUCUGGUGUGCCAACUCUCAGCCUUUCAAACUGCAGCUUCACAGGCGAUGCCAUCUCCUCUGCACCCCACAUGUUGCUGGAGGUGGUUCAAAGGCAUAUGGGGAGUGAGAGCCUGUUACAGGCAGCAGACAGCACAGCUUCUGCUGAAGGCCAGACACAAUCCAGCUGAGAGCCUGUGAUCUCUGGAUGAAGUCAAAGCUGUGCCUGCUUAGCCCAGCGCUCUGCCAGCCUUGGCAACUCCCACAGGCAAGCACAGAGUCACAGCCAUCGUCUGGGAGCUAUUGGCCGAGCAGCACCCAUUGCUUUAUUAUUUCUUGUAGUACAUAAGGAAACAGACCUCCCAGUUUACCCCUGUGGGGCCCUGUGAAGAUUCCUGCUCCUCAAGCAACAGUAGCUGUUGCCAGAGGAUGUGCUUGUGCUGAGGCUCCACACAGCUGCGGGGUGCUGCAGAAGGGC
RNAcentral lists this long non-coding RNA (943 nucleotides) under Cyanistes caeruleus (blue tit). RNAcentral's name for it is "lncRNA (ENSCCEG00000014199.1)". The record is from RNAcentral. Lineage: Eukaryota; Metazoa; Chordata; Aves; Passeriformes; Paridae.